This 253-nucleotide ribosomal RNA is filed under the name uncultured bacterium. RNAcentral describes it as "partial 16S ribosomal RNA". It matches the Rfam family "Bacterial small subunit ribosomal RNA", at positions 524 to 776 of the family's 1533-position model. The record is from RNAcentral.
UACGUAGGGGGCAAGCGUUGUUCGGAAUUACUGGGCGUAAAGGGCGCGUAGGCGGUACGACAAGUCGGGAGUGAAAGCCCGGGGCUCAACCCUGGAACGGCUCUCGAAACUGUCGAACUUGAGUGCAGAAGAGGCAACUGGAAUUCCCAGUGUAGCGGUGAAAUGCGUAGAUAUUGGGAAGAACACCUGAGGCGAAGGCGGGUUGCUGGGCUGACACUGACGCUGAGGCGCGAAAGCGUGGGGAGCAAACAGG